RNAcentral lists this transfer RNA (73 nucleotides) under Ovis aries (sheep). It matches the Rfam family "tRNA". From Rfam's summary of the family: Transfer RNA (tRNA) molecules are approximately 80 nucleotides in length. Their secondary structure includes four short double-helical elements and three loops (D, anti-codon, and T loops). Lineage: Eukaryota; Metazoa; Chordata; Mammalia; Artiodactyla; Bovidae. The record is from Rfam by way of RNAcentral.
UCCCUGGUGGUCCAGUAGCUAGGGCUCCACAGUCCCAGUGCAGGGGGCCCAGGUUCAAUUCCUGGUCAGGGAA